This 246-nucleotide ribosomal RNA is filed under the name uncultured Methanomicrobiales archaeon. Its description in RNAcentral is "partial 16S ribosomal RNA". It matches the Rfam family "Archaeal small subunit ribosomal RNA", at positions 1094 to 1338 of the family's 1478-position model. The record is from RNAcentral. Lineage: Archaea; Methanobacteriati; Methanobacteriota; Methanomicrobia; Methanomicrobiales.
GACUGUUGGGACCGCCGUCUGCUAAAGAGGAGGAAGGAAUGGGCAACGGUAGGUCAGCAUGCCCCGAAUUAUCUGGGCUACACGCGGGCUACAAUGGGUGGGACAAUGGGUAUCGACACCGAAAGGUGAAGGCAAUCUCCUAAACCCAUCCGUAGUUCGGAUUGUGGGCUGCAACUCGCCCACAUGAAGCUGGAAUCUGUAGUAAUCGUGUCUCAAAAUGGCACGGUGAAUAUGUCCCUGCUCCUU